AAUGAAGGUGAUGACGUGUUUCUAUGUGAGUAUGAAUAUGAUGUAAAAUAUCAUAGCUUCAAGAGAAUUGCUGACAUU
Erigeron canadensis is the source of this 78-nucleotide small nucleolar RNA. RefSeq annotates it as small nucleolar RNA snoR28. Lineage: Eukaryota; Viridiplantae; Streptophyta; Magnoliopsida; Asterales; Asteraceae. The record is from RefSeq and is a predicted model, not a curated record. The transcript has a single exon.